RNAcentral lists this ribosomal RNA (383 nucleotides) under uncultured bacterium. Its description in RNAcentral is "bacterial SSU rRNA". It matches the Rfam family "Bacterial small subunit ribosomal RNA", at positions 41 to 427 of the family's 1533-position model. The record is from RNAcentral.
GGCGUGCUUACACAUGCAAGUCGAACGAUGAACUCCUGCUUGCAGGAGGGAUUAGUGGCGCACGGGUGAGUAAUAUAUAGGUAACGUGCCUCUUAGUCUGGGAUAGCCAUUGGAAACGAUGAUUAAUACUAGAUACUCCUUCUGAUUUUAAUAUCAGUUGGGAAAGUUUUUCGCUAAGAGAUCGGCCUAUUUCCCAUCAGCUAGUUGGUAGUGUAAGAGACUACCAAGGCAAUGACGGGUAGCGGGUUUGAGAGGAUGAUCCGCCACACUGGUACUGAGACACGGACCAGACUCCUACGGGAGGCAGCAGUGAGGAAUAUUGCACAAUGGAGGAAACUCUGAUGCAGCAACGCCGCGUGGAGGAUGACGCAUUUCGGUGUGUA